AACAGAAAAAGGCAAACCGCUUGAAAAGGUGGGACGCAAAGCUUCAGGUCUAAUGCGGGAGAAUUCCGGUGCGAUGACGGCUGAGCUGCCUGG
Molecule: non-coding RNA, 93 nt
Filed under: Bacillus sp. (in: firmicutes)
Lineage: Bacteria; Bacillati; Bacillota; Bacilli; Caryophanales; Bacillaceae
Description: Bacillus sp. c-di-GMP sequence
Rfam family: c-di-GMP-I riboswitch aptamer
About the family: GEMM was predicted in a large-scale screen for bacterial structured RNA regulatory elements.
Source: RNAcentral